GUCUUAGGCCUUUCAUCUGGAUCUUGGAGGCUGAUCAGAGUUUGGAGGUCAGGAAAAGGAGGAGCAACAGGCCAAGAGAACACAAAAUGACUGGUUGCAUUGUGACCUCCCAGGAACAGAACCAAGAGCCUGUGUGGACUCUUCCCCUCUAUUCAAAGCGGCAAAAAACCCAAAAGAUUAGCUGCAUGGUGGGUCAAGUUAAGAUUCUGGGUAAAUAAUGACUGAGUUUUGGCAACCCAAACAGCUGUGGCAUUUCACAGAAAUGGGAUUUCAAGAUAUGUGAGUUCUAUUUUUGGUUUUCUAAUUUACCCUCUGUCUCUGAAG
Long non-coding RNA from Homo sapiens (human), 324 nucleotides. RefSeq lists it as uncharacterized. The record is from RefSeq and is a predicted model, not a curated record. Lineage: Eukaryota; Metazoa; Chordata; Mammalia; Primates; Hominidae. The transcript is spliced from 3 exons.